UAUAUAUUGUUUUUAUUUUUCCUCUUUUGUUUUCUUAGAAGAGGGAAAGCUUGAGAAUAAAUCAGCAAUGAUAAAAAUUUUGUUCUGUUUUUGGAGUUUUAAAAAAUUCUCAUAAUUUUAAGAAAAUGCAGAAAGCAUUCAUAUUCAGAAAAGGAGCCAAGGAAAAGUGUUAGACACCACUUCAGAUUUAUCCAAUAUAAUAUUUACAAAGUGGUGGCUUUUUUUCUUAGUGUAAGUUUUAAUCUAUUGGUAUUAGCAAUAUCUGCUUUUCUCCUGCCUUGCUUUACACAGAUUCAUGAUUUUCUAAAAACUGAUGUUUUACUCAAAUUGAGGUAGGUUCUUUUCUACUGUCUUACAUAACUUUGGGUGCAUAGACCAAGAUUAUUUAUACACUGUAGAAGUCGAUGGUAUUAAAUCCGCUCAAGAAGUAAGAGAAGUCAGAGGCUAAGUCACGAAAAACCUUUGUCAAAAGACUGUAGGGUGAAUGUGGUUUUUGCAUCCAAAGCUUUACCUGUGGGUCUAAUAUAGAUUCUGUGCAUUCAUCUUCUGCAGGGACCAUUUCAGUAGAGCCUUUUAAGACACAUGUUUUGGAAUACAGUCAAAUGCGUGCUGCUGCAUGACCAGCCUAUUUGAACUACUUAAGCAUCAACUAAUUAAUCUGCAAGUGAAGAAUACUUCCAGCAUUACUCUAUAAUUAGACAAUCUCAGGAGGAAACAAGAGGAUUUCAAAGGGGAGUCAGAUGGUUUCGCAGACCGCUACAUCAUUUAUUUUUUCAUCACUCAGAUUAUGCCUCCAAAUCCUACAGAAGUAUAACAACCAUAGAACAGACAAACACCAACAGCAUCAACAACAGAGAAACUCAGUCCAGGAGGAUAUGAAACCCUUUGUAAUAAAGAAAGCAACAGCCAUGAACAUUUGUGUACAUGUG
Long non-coding RNA from Pan paniscus (pygmy chimpanzee), 929 nucleotides. The record is from Ensembl. NCBI's taxonomy places the organism in Eukaryota, Metazoa, Chordata, Mammalia, Primates, Hominidae.